UGGGGUGUAGCUCAGUGAUAGAGCACUUGCCUAGCAUGUGCAAGGCUUUGGGUUUGAUCCCCAACACAACUA
RNAcentral lists this transfer RNA (72 nucleotides) under Ictidomys tridecemlineatus (thirteen-lined ground squirrel). RNAcentral describes it as "Spermophilus tridecemlineatus (thirteen-lined ground squirrel) tRNA". It matches the Rfam family "tRNA". From Rfam's summary of the family: Transfer RNA (tRNA) molecules are approximately 80 nucleotides in length. Their secondary structure includes four short double-helical elements and three loops (D, anti-codon, and T loops). The record is from Rfam by way of RNAcentral. Lineage: Eukaryota; Metazoa; Chordata; Mammalia; Rodentia; Sciuridae.